This 528-nucleotide ribosomal RNA is filed under the name Bifidobacterium dentium. Its description in RNAcentral is "bacterial SSU rRNA". It matches the Rfam family "Bacterial small subunit ribosomal RNA", at positions 161 to 700 of the family's 1533-position model. Lineage: Bacteria; Bacillati; Actinomycetota; Actinomycetes; Bifidobacteriales; Bifidobacteriaceae. The record is from RNAcentral.
UGGUAAUGCCGGAUGCUCCGGUUGGAUGCAUGUCCUUCCGGGAAAGAUCCAUCGGUAUGGGAUGGGGUCGCGUCCUAUCAGCUUGAUGGCGGGGUAACGGCCCACCAUGGCUUCGACGGGUAGCCGGCCUGAGAGGGCGACCGGCCACAUUGGGACUGAGAUACGGCCCAGACUCCUACGGGAGGCAGCAGUGGGGAAUAUUGCACAAUGGGCGCAAGCCUGAUGCAGCGACGCCGCGUGCGGGAUGGAGGCCUUCGGGUUGUAAACCGCUUUUGAUCGGGAGCAAGCCCUUCGGGGUGAGUGUACCUUUCGAAUAAGCACCGGCUAACUACGUGCCAGCAGCCGCGGUAAUACGUAGGGUGCAAGCGUUAUCCGGAAUUAUUGGGCGUAAAGGGCUCGUAGGCGGUUCGUCGCGUCCGGUGUGAAAGCCCAUCGCUUAACGGUGGGUCUGCGCCGGGUACGGGCGGGCUGGAGUGCGGUAGGGGAGACUGGAAUUCCCGGUGUAACGGUGGAAUGUGUAGAUAUCGG